CUGAUGGAGUGACGGAGAAGGCUAAGUUGAGCGUGUGAUUGGAUUCACGUGUAAGCAGUGAGGUGGUCAUGUAGGCAAAUCCGCAUGGCAUAACAUUGAGCUGUGAUGCCGAAGCCGAAUGGCGAAGUCAACUGACGUCACGCUUCCAAGAAAAGCUUCUAGGGUUAAUUUAAUAAGUGCCCGUACCGAUAACCGACACAGGUAGGCGAGGAGAGAAUCCUAAGAUGAUCGAGAGAACUCUUGUUAAGGAACUCGGCAAAAUGACCCCGUAACUUCGGGAGAAGGGGUGCUUGUGAAAGCAAGCCGCAGUGAAUAGGCCCAGGCGACUGUUUAUCAAAAACACAGGUCUCUGCUAAACCGCAAGGUAAUGUAUAGGGGCUGACGCCUGCCCGGUGCUGGAAGGUUAAGAGGAGAGGUUAGCGCAAGCGAAGCUUUGAAUUGAAGCCCCAGUAAACGGCGGCCGUAACUAUAACGGUCCUAAGGUAGCGAAAUUCCUUGUCGGGUAAGUUCCGACCCGCACGAAAGGCGUAACGAUCUGGGCGCUGUCUCAACAAGAGACUCGGUGAAAUCAUAGUACCUGUGAAGAUGCAGGUUACCCGCGACAGGACGGAAAGACCCCGUGGAGCUUUACUGUAGCUUGAUAUUGAGCACUGGUGGCACAUGUACAGGAUAGGUAGGAGACGAAGAAACCAGGACGCCAGUCUUGGUGGAGUCGCUGUUGGGAUACUACCCUUGUGUCACUGGGGUUCUAACCCGUGGCCCUUAUCGGGUCAGGGAACAGUGUCAGGUGGGCAGUUUGACUGGGGCGGUCGCCUCCCAAAGAGUAACGGAGGCGCCCAAAGGUUCCCUCAGAAUGGUUGGAAAUCAUUCGAAGAGUGUAAAGGCAGAAGGGAGCUUGACUGCUAGACCUACAAGUCGAGCAGGGACGAAAGUCGGGCUUAGUGAUCCGGCGGUACCGAAUGGAAGGGCCGUCGCUCAACGGAUAAAAGCUACCCCGGGGAUAACAGGCUGAUCUCCCCCAAGAGUUCACAUCGACGGGGAGGUUUGGCACCUCGAUGUCGGCUCAUCGCAUCCUGGGGCUGUAGUCGGUCCCAAGGGUUGGGCUGUUCGCCCAUUAAAGCGGUACGCGAGCUGGGUUCAGAACGUCGUGAGACAGUUCGGUCCCUAUCCGUCGUGGGCGUAGGAAAUUUGAGAGGAGCUGUCCUUAGUACGAGAGGACCGGGAUGGACACACCGCUGGUGUACCAGUUGUUCUGCCAGGAGCAUAGCUGGGUAGCUACGUGUGGACGGGAUAAACGCUGAAAGCAUCUAAGCGUGAAGCCCCCCUCAAGAUGAGAUUUCCCAUUCGAAAGAAGUAAGAUCCCUUGAAGACGACGAGGUUGAUAGGUCAGGAGUGGAAGUGUGGUGACACAUGGAGCGGACUGAUACUAAUCGAUCGAGGACUUAACCG
This 1449-nucleotide ribosomal RNA is filed under the name metagenome. RNAcentral's name for it is "bacterial LSU rRNA". It matches the Rfam family "Bacterial large subunit ribosomal RNA", at positions 1461 to 2925 of the family's 2925-position model. The record is from RNAcentral.